This 458-nucleotide ribosomal RNA is filed under the name uncultured bacterium. RNAcentral describes it as "partial 16S ribosomal RNA". It matches the Rfam family "Bacterial small subunit ribosomal RNA", at positions 338 to 795 of the family's 1533-position model. The record is from RNAcentral.
CCUACGGGUGGCAGCAGUGGGGAAUAUUGCACAAUGGGGGAAACCCUGAUGCAGCGACGCCGCGUGAGUGAAGAAGUAUUUCGGUAUGUAAAGCUCUAUCAGCAGGGAAGAAAUAGCGACCUUUGGGUCGCCAGACGGUACCUGAUUAAGAAGCCCCGGCUAACUACGUGCCAGCAGCCGCGGUAAUACGUAGGGGGCAAGCGUUAUCCGGAUUUACUGGGUGUAAAGGGAGCGUAGACGGCAGCGCAAGUCUGAAGUGAAAUGCCGGGGCUUAACCCCGGAACUGCUUUGGAAACUGUGCAGCUAGAGUGCAGGAGAGGUAAGUGGAAUUCCUAGUGUAGCGGUGAAAUGCGUAGAUAUUAGGAGGAACAUCAGGGGCGAAGGCGACUUACUGGACUGUAACUGACACUGAGGCACGAAAGCGUGGGGAGCAAACAGGAUUAGAUACCCGAGUAGUC